AGGACGAACGCUGGCGGCGUGCUUAACACAUGCAAGUCGAGCGAGGCCCUCUCUUCGGAGAGGUGCCCUAGCGGCGAACGGGUGAGUAACACGUGGGCAACCUGCCCCUAGCACUGGGAUAAGCCCGGGAAACCGGGUCUAAUACCGGAUAUGACCUUCAAGGGCAUCCUCGAAGGUGUAAAGGAUUCUGGCUAGGGAUGGGCCCGCGGCCUAUCAGCUUGUUGGUGGGGUAAUGGCCCACCAAGGCAACGACGGGUAGCCGGCCUGAGAGGGCGACCGGCCACACUGGGACUGAGACACGGCCCAGACUCCUACGGGAGGCAGCAGUGGGGAAUAUUGCACAAUGGGCGAAAGCCUGAUGCAGCGACGCCGCGUGAGGGAUGACGGCCUUCGGGUUGUAAACCUCUUCAGCAGGGACGAAGCGAAAGUGACGGUACCUGCAGAAGAAGCGCCGGCUAACUACGCGCCAGCAGCCGCGGUAA
This 482-nucleotide ribosomal RNA is filed under the name uncultured bacterium. RNAcentral describes it as "SSU rRNA". It matches the Rfam family "Bacterial small subunit ribosomal RNA", at positions 26 to 523 of the family's 1533-position model. The record is from RNAcentral.